GACGAACGCUGGCGGCGUGCUUAACACAUGCAAGUCGAACGGAAAGGCCCUGCUUUUGUGGGGUGCUCGAGUGGCGAACGGGUGAGUAACACGUGAGUAACCUGCCCUUGACUUUGGGAUAACUUCAGGAAACUGGGGCUAAUACCGGAUAGGAGCUCCUGCUGCAUGGUGGGGGUUGGAAAGUUUCGGCGGUUGGGGAUGGACUCGCGGCUUAUCAGCUUGUUGGUGGGGUAGUGGCUUACCAAGGCUUUGACGGGUAGCCGGCCUGAGAGGGUGACCGGCCACAUUGGGACUGAGAUACCGCCCAGACUCCUACGGGAGGCAGCAGUGGGGAAUAUUGCAUAAUGGGCGGAAGCCUGAUGCAGCAACGCCGCGUGCGGGAUGACGGCCUUCGGGUUGUAAACCGCUUUCGCCUGUGACGAAGCGUGAGUGACGGUAAUGGGUAAAGAAGCACCGGCUAACUACGUG
RNAcentral lists this ribosomal RNA (468 nucleotides) under uncultured bacterium. Its description in RNAcentral is "partial 16S ribosomal RNA". It matches the Rfam family "Bacterial small subunit ribosomal RNA", at positions 28 to 507 of the family's 1533-position model. The record is from RNAcentral.